GAAGACCUCAUAGAACAGAUCAAAGGAGGCUUCAUGGAAUUUGAUAAAUUAAUUGCUUCUCCUGAUAUGAUGCCUAAGGUCUUAAAUUUAUCUUCUUUUACUUGCUCUUUAGAUUUUAUUAUCCAAUUCAAACCUUAACUAAAUGGUGUAUCUCAGUAAGUGAUACAAAAAGUUGGUAACUGGCUGAAUUAUCUCCUAAUGUGGAUUAGAAAUCACCUUUUAAGUGGUUGGUAUGUCUAAUUCUGAUUAUUUUAGAGACUACUCUGUUCAUUGUCGUCCCUUCAAUACAUUUGCAGUUAAUGCAUGUUUAAUCUGUGCUAGCAUAGCAUGUCACAGUUGAUUUUCUUCAUGUGCUAAAAUGCUAAUCAUCUUUCGUAAGUGAAUAUUAAAAUUAGAUGGCAUCGUAUGGGAUGCUACCCAUGUGUUCCUGCCUGACAUUCUAAAAAGAUUUUGAUAAGAUGCAUUUGUCCUCUCUAAAUUCCCUUUUAAAUAAACUAACAAACCGAUGUGUAUGUCAAUUGUGGCAUGCUAGGUGCUUUAGUACACGUAUAAGGUACUAUGGUUAGGCCUUUAGAUAUAUUGUCCUGGUAGUAUGUAAUUACAAAGAGUUCAGUAAUUCAAUGAAGUUUUUUUGGAUUGAUAUUUAUGACGGAAACUUGCUUAACUGUCAUUGUUGGUUGUAUCAGGUUGCUAGCCUAGGUAAGAUUCUGGGGCCAAGAGGACUGAUGCCAAAUCCAAAAGCGGGCACUGUAACUCCUAAUAUUCCUCAGGUGUGUUGUCCACUUCUAUUGUGUAUCUUUUCUUUUCAAGUUCACUUGCAAAGGAGUGUUUGCGCUGUUUGUAUAGUGUAGUUAUAUAGAACCUGGAGUUUUAAUUAGUAGAUAUCGAGUUUAUCUUUUUUCUUGAAAAAUAUAUAAAACAUGAUUCUAACAUUUAGGCAAGGGGGAAUAGAUGAAAAAAUUUAACAGCAUUGAUUUGUUUUGCUUGUGACAAUGUUGCAAGUCUUUCAAUUCAGAAAUAUUCUACUUAGUUUAACCAGGAAUCUUUCAAAUUCACCUGUUCAGGC
Molecule: long non-coding RNA, 1066 nt
Filed under: Lupinus angustifolius (narrow-leaved blue lupine)
Lineage: Eukaryota; Viridiplantae; Streptophyta; Magnoliopsida; Fabales; Fabaceae
Description: long non-coding RNA (LANG_LNC001481)
Source: RNAcentral